UCUUAGGUGACUGAGUAGAAGUGCUAGACUUUUAAUCUAGAGACGGCAUAUAUAAAAAAUGCUCCUAGGAA
This 71-nucleotide transfer RNA is filed under the name Conus antoniaensis. Its description in RNAcentral is "tRNA-Lys". It matches the Rfam family "tRNA". Rfam says of the family: Transfer RNA (tRNA) molecules are approximately 80 nucleotides in length. Their secondary structure includes four short double-helical elements and three loops (D, anti-codon, and T loops). Further hydrogen bonds mediate the characteristic L-shaped molecular structure. tRNAs have two regions of fundamental functional importance: the anti-codon, which is responsible for specific mRNA codon recognition, and the 3' end, to which the tRNAs corresponding amino acid is attached (by aminoacyl-tRNA synthetases). tRNAs cope with the degeneracy of the genetic code in two manners: having more than one tRNA (with a specific anti-codon) for a particular amino acid; and 'wobble' base-pairing, i.e. permitting non-standard base-pairing at the 3rd anti-codon position. Lineage: Eukaryota; Metazoa; Mollusca; Gastropoda; Neogastropoda; Conidae. The record is from RNAcentral.